UACGGAGGAUGCGAGCGUUAUCCGGAUUUAUUGGGUUUAAAGGGUGCGUAGGCGGCCGAGUAAGUCAGCGGUGAAAUUUUGCAGCUUAACUGUAACAGUGCCGUUGAUACUGGGGAGCUAGGAUUUGGUUGCUGUGGGUGGAAUGUGUGGUGUAGCGGUGAAAUGCUUAGAGAUCACACAGAAUAUCGAUUGCGAAGGCAGCUCACAAAGCCAAGAUUGACGCUGAGGCACGAAAGUGUGGGGAGUCAAACAGGAUUA
This 258-nucleotide ribosomal RNA is filed under the name uncultured prokaryote. RNAcentral's name for it is "partial 16S ribosomal RNA". It matches the Rfam family "Bacterial small subunit ribosomal RNA", at positions 524 to 780 of the family's 1533-position model. The record is from RNAcentral.